UACGAAGGGGGCUAGCGUUGCUCGGAAUCACUGGGCGUAAAGCGCACGUAGGCGGAUUGCUAAGUCAGGGGUGAAAUCCUGGAGCUCAACUCCAGAACUGCCUUUGAUACUGGCGAUCUUGAGUCCGGGAGAGGUGAGUGGAACUGCGAGUGUAGAGGUGAAAUUCGUAGAUAUUCGCAAGAACGCCAGUGGCGAAGGCGGCUCACUGGCCCGGUACUGACGCUGAGGUGCGAAAGCGUGGGGAGCAAACAGG
RNAcentral lists this ribosomal RNA (253 nucleotides) under uncultured bacterium. RNAcentral's name for it is "partial 16S ribosomal RNA". It matches the Rfam family "Bacterial small subunit ribosomal RNA", at positions 524 to 776 of the family's 1533-position model. The record is from RNAcentral.